Onychostoma macrolepis is the source of this 5000-nucleotide long non-coding RNA. RefSeq lists it as uncharacterized. NCBI's taxonomy places the organism in Eukaryota, Metazoa, Chordata, Actinopteri, Cypriniformes, Cyprinidae. The record is from RefSeq and is a predicted model, not a curated record. The transcript has 4 exons.
UUAUAGCUGGACUUCUGUUGGUGAAUUUUUAAGUUCUUUAUUGUUGUUUUAGGGGUUAAUGUGAUUUUGAUGCGCGGACGAGUUAACAUAGAGACAAUAUGUAACAGAUAAAAUUACAUUAUUAUGAAAUAGAUUUUUUUUUUCAUCGCGAAAAGAGUUUUCUAUCAAAGCAAAUUUUGUUUAUUUUAGGAUAUCUAUUAGCUACUGUAUUCUUUUUCUGAUGUCUACAGAAAUGUCUAGAAAACGUCAGGUUACGUAACAGAUUUGAAGAUCAAAAUCUAGCUGUUAAUUCUCAACUUGCUGAAUGUGCAAGUUAUUAAAAGAGACAGACCGCAAACAUUCACUGCCGCUGUAAAUCUCUGGUCGUCGGGGACCCUCAGACGCCCGCUUCCUGUAGGAAGUUUACAGUCCAAAUAUGGGCAUCGUGACGUGGCGUUCCUCUCAGAGGGAGCGUGAGUUGCCCCGCCCACUUUAUCUGGACUGCAGCGCAGAGGCGCGUCCUCGACACUCGCGAGAAACACCUGCUAAACAAGCGAACAGGACAGAAAUCCACACACAAUGACAAAAUAACAUCUACUGAAUCCCAAAUUGAAAUAAACAUACAGAAAAUGCUUUUUUAAUGGUAUUAUAAUAGUCAAUAAUUAGUUUAAACGCCGGUCUCCUAAACCAGGUCAAUAGGUUAUUCAUCGUUUGGAUAUUUAGACUCAAAAUGCAGGUUCUGCAGUCAAAUUAGAGGCUUUGUUUCACAAACCACUGCGGCUCUAGGGCUUUACAGAUGUAGAAUAGUGAUGCUGUAUGUAAUGAUAAUGUAGCUAUAUAAUGAUGCUCCAUAAUUAGGCCUAUACAUUUAACGUGAGCUAUUAAUGAUUCUUAAGUAUGUAAAUAAUGUAUUUAAGGUACGUCAGUAAUUUUAGCAGCAUAUUUGUACUUUGUAUAGUCACUUCCCUGCUAAAAACAACAACAAAACAAUAGAAGCCCAAUAGAAACCAUCACAGAAAUUCAGAUGGUUUCCAUUAAAAUACCAUUAAAACCAUUAGCUUUUUCCAGUAAAACCAUUACAAAAUUCAUUUUGUAGUUUGUUUUGGGCAUUUUUCCAAUAGGAUUUAACAUCCCACCAAUAGAAUCCAUCACAUACCAGUAGACACCAUUAUAGUUUCCAUUAAAACCAAUACAAUUCCCAUCAUAACCAUUAAAUCCAUUACAUUUUCUAUUGUGUUUUGGGCAGCGUUCUAUUGUUUUUGUCAGCAGGGUUUGAGGGAAUAUCAUGUUUUCACAGACAGAAAUGGAGUCCUAGUCAGUCGCUUUAAGGCCUUUUGAGUUUGUUUGAUGUAGGAAAGUCAUAUUAAACAGCAAGGGCAGUACAUUGACAUGAAUCAGAGUGAUAUUUGAUCGUUUUGGUCUUCUCAGGUAGUUCAGAGACGUUCGGCUGACGUCCCGCUCCGCACCUGUGCUGCUGUGUGUUGUUCAGUAUGCCAGGCUUCAUUUCCACCCACCUGAAAGCAGCUCGGGAGUUAAUGUAACCUGUCCCAUCUGUCCUAGAGCUUCAUGAGAUCAGGGGCGGUUGGAUGUUCACGGUAAUACUGAUGGAGCGGGCAGCAUGUGUGUGUGUGUGUGUGUAGGUGUGUGUGUGGCACUGUGCCAUGAGGACACUGGCACAGCAGUGGCAGAAGCAUCAUGAAAAAUCCCACACAGAUGGAUGAACCUGUGUGUGUGUGUGUUAUGAGGCCAAGGUCAGUGUGCUGUUGUUGUUUACCUGGAUCGCGGGUGGUUGGUACAUGCAGUUCUCUGGCUGACUGUUUAUUUUAUUCAGAUGAAGGGCAGCAAGUCUCAUUCUACCCAAAACGCCUGCUUUGGCCCUGAUUUCCAUCAUUUUUACACAAAACAUAUGUUCCUUUAUACUUUAGAAAUGUAUUUUAUUACUGUUGACUAUAGUCAGUAAUAACCACUAUCAAUCGUAUGUGUGUGUUUAUGUGUGUCUAUGUGUGUGUGUUUAGGUUGACAUGGAUAUGAGCCAGUAAAAAUAAUGUAAGCCGAUCCUCCGUGUGUGAGAGAUCUGCCUGAGGCCAGAUCACAUUUACGGAGAACACAUUGGUCAUUUGAUGAUGGUGACUCACGUUCACCUCUGGUGUCAGGGCCAAUCAGGGGUCAGCGAGUGCAGACAAUCACAGGUCUCCCCUCAGACUCGACUGUGCCUCUGCGUCAGCAGGAAAACACAAGAUGUUUGCUCGAGAGGCGCUGAAGAGCACUGGACACCGAACCAGCAGUCAGCAGAAAAACAAGGGCUGGCGGCCAACCAGACAGACGGAGGGUUAGAGAGGUCCAAAGAGCCAACGCUUCACUGAAACUCACACACAGAAGAGCGUUUGUAAGAUUGUAAAGACAGAAAUACACUGACCUGCAGUGACCACACAAAUGGAGCAAUUAACAGCCUGUUAAUGAUGAGUAAUGUCCAUCUCACCAGCUAUUUCUGUGCAAAAUAGUCCACUUUUAACCUCACCAAUCUAUUUUUAAUCAAUAAAAUAUAAUUAUAAUUAAUCUUUUCACUUGUUCAUGGGUGUCUUAGCUCCAGAGGAGCUUACAAACCUUAUUUUAUUGGAGAUUUGAAGCAUAUUUGAAAACCACAAGGUUUUUCAAAAGAUGAACUUCUUUUAAAUUAAAGGGAUACUCCACCCCAAAAUGAAAAUUUUGUCAUUAAUCACUUACCCCCAUAUCGUUCCAAACCCUGUCCCAUUGACUGCCAAGUAAAUUACAUGGUCAAGGCACAGAAAAGUAUAAAAAAAAACCAUCGCCAAAAUAGUCCAUCUGCCAUCAGUGGUUCAAUCUGAAUUUUAUGAAGCGACGAGAAUACUUUUUGUAUGCAAAGAAAAUAAAAAUAACAAGUUAAAAAUAAAAAAUAAAAAAAGUCAACUUUUAAAAAACGCAUCUCUUGCAUUUUUCCAUUAUACUAUAGUAGAACUAUAUAUAUAUAUUUUUACAAUACAAAAAUGUUCACACAGAACUAGGUUUGAGUUCAAAAGCGCUGCUUUUCCAUUCAUUUUUUUCUAUGUAAACACGUGCUAUGGUGGGCUUCAGCUGUUGCGCUCGUGUCUUUUGCCGCGCCUUAUGCGUUCUAAAAACGAAGCACUCAAGUUAAAAAAAAGAAACGUUGUUCUAGACUUUGGACAUUUUUUUCCACUCUCGCGUUUUUGCGUUCCACUGCGCUGUUGUUCCAUUUGUUUGUCUCGGGUGUGUCUCACGCGUCCUGAAAAGUGAAGCUACGGGCUCUUUGAUCGCCCCCUGGUGGCUGGCUGCAGUACAGGUCAUAAACCCCGCCCUCUCCAUGUAAACAAAUGGGACAUCAGUCAGAAUAAAAAAAAAAAAAAAUUACACUUCCAAUACAAUUUUCCGAAAUAUGGUUUUGGUCAUUUAAGGUAGUUGUUAUCACGCUGAUAUAUGUUUAAUUGUUAGUUUUUGUGAUAAGUUUCAUUUUAGCUAGUAAUUUGAUGCUAUAAAAACGGGGCGUGUCGUUAUGGUUGAUUGGGUCUGCGGGAGUUUGGGCAGGAGUUUGAUUCCGUGGCUCCACCUUACGACACUACUGCGCAGACUCUGGCUCCUAACGAAUCUCUACUGCGCAGACACUGGCUCCUAACGAAUCUCUACUGCGCAGACACUGGCUCCUAACGAAUCUCCUAACGAAUCUCUACUGCGCAGACUCUGGCUCCUAACGAAUCUCCUAACGAAUCUCUACUGCGCAGACUCUGGCUCCAAAUGACGUAAUUUUCUCAAGAUGGCAGCGGCCAUACUGAGCUGCAUUCGCUUCACUUUUCUAUAGUGGAAGGAAGUAGAGACACGUCGUCCAUCUUUUUAUACAGUCUAUGGUUUUUCUAUGUAAACUUGCUCUAGACUGACAACUUUGACGAUUGGUCACGCGUCUUUUGUAGUCUCACUCAUGACACGGAACUCCAAAAAGUUAAAAUAAGUUAAAAUAAGUUCUCACAUUCCAAGAAAGACCCUUUUCUCCCAUUUAUCCACACAUCUCCCAAGGGUUUGGAACAAUCUGUUUGUCUGAGUGCAGACAAGAUUAAUUGAUCGAGGUCUGUUUUUGACAGGUGAUCAUUCCAGUCUGAGGAAUCAUCCGUUCAUUCCAUUCAGGGAAUCCCAAUGUGUCUGCAGGAAAGAGGGGUCACGACCUUCGUGCGGAGGCUGACGUCAUAAUUCAUCUAGAGGGCGAGAUAAUGAGCGAUGAUGAAGAACUGAUAACGAGAGAGAGAUAUAAAUAUGACGAUGAAGCUCCUCAAAACCAGAUGGUAAACACACUCACAUACACAUCCUGCUGCUGAUCAGCAUAAAGCACGCGUUUUAUCAGUCUGCUGUCAUGGAAGAAUACUUUUUUUCUAGUUCUUUGGAAAUCAUCUGAUCUGGUGCUGAUCUGAAGAACCAAGGAUAUUAUUCCUUUCCAAACAUCUAUAUCAGAGCCAAAAAUCGUUCUUGAUCUGAAGAAGUUUCUGCCGAACCUAAUGAACAAUAGACAUAGCAUUAUUGUAGGAGUGUGUGUGUUUUUUCCAUACUGUGCUUAACAGACCAAGGAAUGAAGGCAUUUCAUAACAUGUUUAGACACAGAUCGGCUCUCCGUGAAGCAGUUUACAUGAGCAACACCUCUGCCCAGAGCAACAAGCACACAAUAAUGUCCUGCUUUAUUUCAAAGUCAUCCAUAGAGAAUACAUAACUCCUUACAAGAGGUUUAAAAUGAAACUGCAAUCGACCUAUAACGGUCAUAUCUGUAACACUGUAUCAGCAGGUACUUUUCUCCACAUGUUUUGGGAAUGUCCGAUUGUUGUCAGUCUAUGGACUCAUGUGAAUUCUGUUUUGUCCUUUUUACUACAAAUUGAAACUGAAAUUGUUGAUUGUGUGUCUGUUGCUCCCCACCUCCCUGUUGUUUGUUUGAGUGGAUGUUGUUUUGUUGAUUUGGAGAAAAUAAAAAGUUGAUCACAAAAAAAUAAAUAAAAAUAAUGUCCUGCUUU